GAAGGCAUAUCUCAGUGGUAGAACACAUGCUUUGCAUGCAUGAGGUCUUGGGUUCAAUCCCCAGUACCUCCA
Molecule: transfer RNA, 72 nt
Filed under: Camelus bactrianus (Bactrian camel)
Lineage: Eukaryota; Metazoa; Chordata; Mammalia; Artiodactyla; Camelidae
Also listed under: 2 other names
Rfam family: tRNA
About the family: Transfer RNA (tRNA) molecules are approximately 80 nucleotides in length. Their secondary structure includes four short double-helical elements and three loops (D, anti-codon, and T loops). Further hydrogen bonds mediate the characteristic L-shaped molecular structure. tRNAs have two regions of fundamental functional importance: the anti-codon, which is responsible for specific mRNA codon recognition, and the 3' end, to which the tRNAs corresponding amino acid is attached (by aminoacyl-tRNA synthetases). tRNAs cope with the degeneracy of the genetic code in two manners: having more than one tRNA (with a specific anti-codon) for a particular amino acid; and 'wobble' base-pairing, i.e. permitting non-standard base-pairing at the 3rd anti-codon position.
Source: Rfam by way of RNAcentral